UCCAGGUCUGCCAACUACGAGCUGGGAGA
This 29-nucleotide non-coding RNA is filed under the name Homo sapiens (human). The record is from RNAcentral. Lineage: Eukaryota; Metazoa; Chordata; Mammalia; Primates; Hominidae.